UACUCCGUAGCUCAGUGGUUAGAGCAUCCGACCGGUGUACGGAAGGUCAUGGGUUCAAAUCCACGCUCGUGAUAA
Molecule: transfer RNA, 75 nt
Filed under: Desmophyllum pertusum
Lineage: Eukaryota; Metazoa; Cnidaria; Anthozoa; Scleractinia; Caryophylliidae
Description: tRNA-Thr
Source: RNAcentral